This 447-nucleotide ribosomal RNA is filed under the name uncultured bacterium. RNAcentral describes it as "bacterial SSU rRNA". It matches the Rfam family "Bacterial small subunit ribosomal RNA", at positions 355 to 825 of the family's 1533-position model. The record is from RNAcentral.
UGGGGAAUAUUGGACAAUGGGCGAAAGCCUGAUCCAGCCAUGCCGCGUGAGUGACGAAGGCCUUAGGGUUGUAAAACUCUUUCGUCGGGGACGAUAAUGACGGUACCCGAAGAAGAAGCUCCGGCUAACUUCGUGCCAGCAGCCGCGGUAAUACGAAGGGAGCUAGCGUUGUUCGGAAUCACUGGGCGUAAAGCGCACGUAGGCGGAUAGUUAAGUCAGGGGUGAAAUCCUGGGGCUCAACCCCAGAACUGCCUUUGAUACUGGCUGUCUCGAGGUCGAGAGAGGUUGGUGGAAUUCCUAGUGUAGAGGUGAAAUUCGUAGAUAUUAGGAGGAAUACCGGUGGCGAAAGCGACUCUCUGGACGGCAACUGACGCUGAGGCACGAAAGCGUGGGGAGCAAACAGGAUUAGAUACCCUAGUAGUCCCUGAGCGGGCUGGCAAGGCGCAU